AGAGUUUGAUCCUGGCUCAGAUUGAACGCUGGCGGCAGGCCUAACACAUGCAAGUCGAGCGGAUGACGGGAGCUUGCUCCUUGAUUCAGCGGCGGACGGGUGAGUAAUGCCUAGGAAUCUGCCUGGUAGUGGGGGACAACGUUUCGAAAGGAACGCUAAUACCGCAUACGUCCUACGGGAGAAAGCAGGGGACCUUCGGGCCUUGCGCUAUCAGAUGAGCCUAGGUCGGAUUAGCUUGUUGGUGAGGUAAUGGCUCACCAAGGCGACGAUCCGUAACUGGUCUGAGAGGAUGAUCAGUCCCACUGGAACUGAGACACGGUCCAGACUCCUACGGGAGGCUGCAAGGGCGUCUUUUUCCAGAGAUCCAUCUCUCUGCCGGCCUCUCGAUCCACCUUCUCGUCGUGUGUACAUGUACAGCACUAGUAGUGGCCAUCGAUUACCGGAUUCA
This 448-nucleotide ribosomal RNA is filed under the name uncultured bacterium. RNAcentral's name for it is "bacterial SSU rRNA". It matches the Rfam family "Bacterial small subunit ribosomal RNA", at positions 8 to 394 of the family's 1533-position model. The record is from RNAcentral.